AAUAUUGGACAAUGGGGGAAACCCUGAUCCAGCAAUGCCGCGUGAGUGAUGAAGGCCUUAGGGUUGUAAAGCUCUGUGGGGAGGGACGAAAACGUUUGGCGCGAACGGCUCCAGACCUUGACGGUACCUCCUUAGCAAGCACCGGCUAACUCUGUGCCAGCAGCCGCGGUAAGACAGAGGGUGCAAACGUUGCUCGGAAUUACUGGGCGUAAAGCGCGUGUAGGCGGGCCGGCAAGUCAGGUGUGAAAUCCCCGGGCUCAACUCGGGAACUGCACUUGAAACUGCCGGUCUGGAGUGCCGGAGAGGGUAGUGGAAUUCCUGGUGUAGAGGUGAAAUUCGUAGAUAUCAGGAGGAACACCGGUGGCGAAGGCGGCUACCUGGACGGUUACUGACGCUGAGACGCGAAAGCGUGGGGAGCAAAC
Molecule: ribosomal RNA, 422 nt
Filed under: uncultured bacterium
Lineage: Bacteria
Description: bacterial SSU rRNA
Rfam family: Bacterial small subunit ribosomal RNA
Source: RNAcentral